CCCAGCCCUACGUGGGGGACGGCCGGGGCGCGGCCGCGCUGCGCCUGCUGCACGUCCUGCGCGCCAGCGUCCACCCCGCCCUGGAGCAGCUCUGGAACAAGGGCAUCCCCCUCCUGGUGGAGCACCUGGAAGGUGAGGAAGGGAGGGGCUUCUCCUGGGGUCACCUUCUCAAGAAUCAGAGAAUCAGAGAAUCACAGUCAGAGAAUCAGAGAAUCACAGAAUCACAGAAUCACAGAAUCACAGAAUCAGAGAAUGACAAUCAGAGAAUCACAGUCACAGAAUCACAGAAUCAGUCAAUCACAGAAUCAGAGAAUCACAGAAUCACAGUCAUAGAAUCACAGAGUCAGAGAAUCACAGUCAUAGAAUCACAGAAUCACAGAGUCAGAGAAUCACAAAUCAGAGAAUCAGAGAAUCACAGAAUCAGAAUCACAGAAUCAGAGAAUCACAGAAUCAGAGAAUCACAGAAUCACAGACUCACAAUCACAGAAUCAGAGAAUCACAGUCACAAAAUCACAGAAUCAGAGAAUCACAGAAACAGGGAAUCACAGAAUCACAGAAUCAGAGAAUCCCAGAAUCAGCUGGGUUGGGAGGGACCUCUGAGAUCACCCAGUCCAACCCUUGAUCCAACCCUGCUGUGGUUCCCAGCCCAUGGCACUGAUGCCACAUCCAGUCUGUCCUUAAACACCUCCAGGGAUGGAGAAUCCACCCCUUCCCUGGGCAGCCCAUUCCAAUGGCUGAGCACCCUCUCUGCAAAGAAAUUCUUUCUGAUAUCCAACCUAACCCUCCCCUGGCACAGCUCCAGACCCAGCCCUCUUGUCUUGCUGAUGGGAAAAGAGACCAACCCCCCCUGGCUCCCCCCUCCUGUCAGGGAGUUGCAGAGAGUGAGGAGGUCUCCCCUGAGCCUCCUCCUCUCCAGGCUGAGCC
This 924-nucleotide long non-coding RNA is filed under the name Manacus vitellinus (golden-collared manakin). Its description in RNAcentral is "lncRNA (ENSMVIG00005014615.1)". The record is from RNAcentral. Lineage: Eukaryota; Metazoa; Chordata; Aves; Passeriformes; Pipridae.